AGAGAGAGACAUGCGCGCAUAUCAAUAAGCGGAGGAAAAGAAACUAACAAGGAUUCCCCUAGUAACGGCGAGUGAAGCGGGAAGAGCUCAUAUUUGAAAUCUUAAAGGGUUUCCCUUUACGAAUUGUAGUUUAAAGAAGUGUUUUCUGUUGAGGUUUUGGUAAAAGUUCUUUGGAAUAGGACAUCAUAGAGGGUGAGAAUCCCGUAUUUGACCAUUACUUUCAACUUUGUGAUACACUUUCAAAGAGUCGGAUUGUUUGGGAAUGCAGUCCAAAAUGGGUGGUAAAUUUCAUCUAAAGCUAAAUAUUGGCGAGAGACCGAUAGCGAACAAGUACCGUGAGGGAAAGAUGAAAAGAACUUUGAAAAGAGAGUUAAACAGUACGUGAAAUUGUCAAAAGGGAAGCGUUUGACACCAGUGUUGUUUUUCUGAAAAUCAAUUAAAGAACUGUUUAUGCUAAGUUGUUUAGACUUUAUCAGCUAUCUGUUUAGUUUUGAGCUUUUCUUUAAUGCACUUUCCAGUUAACAAGUCAACAUCAAUUUCUUUUGCUGUAAAAAAGCUUGAGGAAGGUGGCUUGAGAUUCGUCUUAAGUGUUUAUAGCCUCUUGCCUAUGCAGUCGGAGAGAUUGAGGUCUGCAGCGUAGAUCCUUCGGGGCUAAAUGCAUUUGUGCUAAGUUAUAGCAUUUUAUAGACAACUUGUUGACUAUGAUUUGUCUUGUAGCUUACUCGCUUAUGUUAUUUUACCUACGCUUAGGAUGUUGAGCGCAUGUCUCUCUCU
Molecule: ribosomal RNA, 774 nt
Filed under: uncultured Neocallimastigales
Lineage: Eukaryota; Fungi; Neocallimastigomycota; Neocallimastigomycetes; Neocallimastigales
Description: partial large subunit ribosomal RNA
Rfam family: Eukaryotic large subunit ribosomal RNA
Source: RNAcentral